Molecule: long non-coding RNA, 893 nt
Organism: Humulus lupulus (European hop)
Lineage: Eukaryota; Viridiplantae; Streptophyta; Magnoliopsida; Rosales; Cannabaceae
Exons: 3
Source: RefSeq, a predicted model, not a curated record
AUCUUGUUCCAAUACAUUGAAAUAAGAAGGGGAGAAGUCAGACGAAUCCUUUGUCUGUGGGUAUUGAGUUUUACUCUUAAUUUCUCUUUUCUCUUCUAAAACUUUAUCUGUUGUUAACUUUCUCGCUUAAACUAGUUCUCUCUUAAUUUCUCACUUGAACUAGUUCUUAUUAAUCAAGUUUUCCUCUCAAUAUUGCAAGUAUUCUUAUCCUCUUUGGAUUUUUUUCUUUUCUUUUUCUUUGGGUGGGUUUUGUUGCAUCAUAGCUAGAUUGAGUAGAUAUUGUUGUUUAUACUUAUAAAAUAGCACCCGUACUAAUAUUUUGAUGUUACUUUUUUUUUGCUAGGAGGAAAUGCAACGUUUUGUUAAGAAAAUUGUGGAUUUGAUGCGAGAGGAAAUGUUGUUUUCAUGGCAAGGUGGUCCGAUCAUUAUGCUGCAGAUUGAAAAUGAAUACGGAAAUAUUGAAGGGAAGUUUGGGCCGAAAGGAAAGGACUAUGUUAAGUGGGCAGCAAAGAUGGCUUUAAGCCUUGGUGCUGUGUAGGCAAACUGAUGGUCCGGAUGAAGUUGUAAGGUCUUAGCCAAUGCUUUAAAUUUUCUGAACUUAUAUAUUAUGGCUGUAAGAAUGUAUAGGGACAGGUGAAACUUUCAGAGUAGUGGCGGUUAAAUUUUAUCAAGUGUGGUAUCUUAAUAUGCUGUUUUUCAUAAAUUACUUUCUUCAUUUACAGAUAGAUGCAUGCAAUGGAUACUAUUGUGAUGGUUAUAGGCCAAAUUCCUAUAACAAACCCACACUUUGGACUGAAAAUUGGGAUGGAUGUACUUUGGUGGAACAAACUUUGGUUGGACUUCCGGCAGACUGUUCUAUAUUACUAGUUAUGAUUAUGAUGCUCCAAUGGAUG